CAGCCGCCGCGGUAAUACAGAGGGUGCAAGCGUUAAUCGGAAUUACUGGGCGUAAAGCGCGCGUAGGUGGUUCGCCAAGUUGGAUGUGAAAUCCCCGGGCUCAACCUGGGAACUGCAUCCAAAACUGGCGAGCUAGAGUAUGGUAGAGGGUGGUGGAAUUUCCUGUGUAGCGGUGAAAUGCGUAGAUAUAGGAAGGAACAUCAGUGGCGAAGGCGACCACCUGGACUGAUACUGACACUGAGGUGCGAAAGCGUGGGGAGCAAACAGGAUUAGAUACCCGUGUAGUCCUGUCUCUUAUACA
RNAcentral lists this ribosomal RNA (301 nucleotides) under uncultured bacterium. Its description in RNAcentral is "partial 16S ribosomal RNA". It matches the Rfam family "Bacterial small subunit ribosomal RNA", at positions 509 to 809 of the family's 1533-position model. The record is from RNAcentral.